This 35-nucleotide transfer RNA is filed under the name Euplectes macroura (yellow-shouldered widowbird). RNAcentral's name for it is "partial tRNA-Phe". The record is from RNAcentral. Lineage: Eukaryota; Metazoa; Chordata; Aves; Passeriformes; Ploceidae.
GAUGUCAAGACGGUUGCUACACACACCCGAGGACA